RNAcentral lists this unclassified non-coding RNA (234 nucleotides) under Hevea brasiliensis (rubber tree). The record is from RNAcentral. Lineage: Eukaryota; Viridiplantae; Streptophyta; Magnoliopsida; Malpighiales; Euphorbiaceae.
AAGUUGAAGGAAAUAUGGUGAGUAUUAUGGUCAUUUGGAGGGACAGGCAGCUGAAUGUGGAGGUCAGUCCGAAGUGUAACUUUGAAGAGCUGGGAAAGAAGUUGCAUUCAUUAACUAAUGUUGAACCACAUACCAUGAGGCUACUAGUUCCCCAGUUAACUAGUAAAACAUCAAAACUUAUUACUCCAUUUUCUGCUGAGCACUCUCGGUUGUACUUGCAAGAGAUGGCUAUUA